Molecule: long non-coding RNA, 1379 nt
Filed under: Chloebia gouldiae (Gouldian finch)
Lineage: Eukaryota; Metazoa; Chordata; Aves; Passeriformes; Passeridae
Description: Erythrura gouldiae (Gouldian finch) lncRNA (ENSEGOG00005007496.1)
Source: RNAcentral
CCUGUCCCUGCCCUUGCCUCACUUCCAUCUUGCCCUAUCCUGGCUCUGACACCUCUGCUGUACCUCUGGGCUUGUUCCUGCUGGGCUGAGCCUGCCAAGGAAGGCACAGCCUCAAGGAGCUGCUAUGGGAGGUGCUCUGCUGGCCCAGUUCAAGGGAGAAGUGCAGGCAUCGUGUGCUGGAGCUGCUCUGCCUGCACCACCCAUCCCACUCGUCUCCCAGUGCCACGGGCAGGGGCUGGUGGCAGGUCAGGUAAGCUGCUGGUGACAAUGGAGAGCUGGGAGCAAGGCUGGCUGGAUGAUCACUUUGUUGGACAGCACUCAUUUGGGGGUGAUGAACUUUUGGAGCUUUCCCCUCAUCGUGUCGCGGUAGCCACGUUUCAAGAGGUCGGGGACCGCAAGCAGGAAAACGAGGAAAUGAAGAAACAGGAAAAAAACCUGUGGAAGGAAAAAUGUCUCCAGCUCCUCCCUCCCCUGCAGGGCACUCUUCUCCGUUUGGUUUUCUCUUGAGCUGUUAGAUUUCUGAGGCACAGAGUGGCAGUGCCCAUUUCAUUGCAUGGCUCCUGCAGGAUGCAGCUCUACCACCGAGCAAAGCUGGGAGCUGCCUCCCUCACCUGGCUGGCCAAGAAGGAAAACUCCAAAUUCCAUGUGACUGUAGCACAGGACAAGGAUCACAACACUGGAUCAAGGAUCUGCCCCCACUCACAGCACUGCCAAGGACAUGGCAAUGCAUUUUAAUUCUGGCUAUGGAAGUAGGGAAAAAAAAGGUUUAUCCACAAAGUAAAAACCUAGUUCUUUAUAUGGGGAAUAUGAAAUGGAAGCAAACCCCAAGGCUAUAUGUAGAAACACCUUUCUGAGCCCUUCAGGGUGCCUGUAGCCCUUGUUUCUGGUUACCUGUCCAUCUCUCACAGCUUCCAGAGGCUCCAGAAACCCCCCCCCCCAUCUUUCCAGACACACUUCUGGAAGCAGCACUUUUUCCAUGGUGCUGGAGAGCACUUGCAGAGCUCCAUCACUGAGGGUUGGGCCAGAGCAUUUGCCCAAGAGUCUGAUUUAAAGCCCUGUGCUCACCCAGCAAAACCCAGGGCCUGAUUUGGCAAUGCUCUCCCUUGAGCAGACUGAUGAGAAAAGGGGAGGCCAGGCACUUCAAUUGUGUGACCUUGUAAUGCCCAGAGGCUCAAGCCUGUUACAAAAAUCUUGCUGGUCCAGGCAAUUGCUAAAAAAAGGGAGGAAAAAAAAACCCCAACCAACCAAACCUGUCAUCUGUCCAGAUUGCUAACUAAAUAACCUGUAAGCUGCAAUAAUUCUGCAAAAGAUGCUCUCAAGAGUGUAUUUUACUGUGAAAGUGGUUAUAAAUAAUAAUAAAGAAAUGCAUCUGUGUGUAC